GUCAAUGCGAUGUAGUGGUGUGAGUGUUGGACUAUGACUCUGGAGACCAGGGUUCAAUUCCCUGCUUGGCCA
Molecule: transfer RNA, 72 nt
Filed under: Phrynosoma platyrhinos (Desert horned lizard)
Lineage: Eukaryota; Metazoa; Chordata; Lepidosauria; Squamata; Phrynosomatidae
Description: tRNA-OTHER
Source: RNAcentral